Molecule: transfer RNA, 72 nt
Filed under: Camelus bactrianus (Bactrian camel)
Lineage: Eukaryota; Metazoa; Chordata; Mammalia; Artiodactyla; Camelidae
Also listed under: 2 other names
Rfam family: tRNA
About the family: Transfer RNA (tRNA) molecules are approximately 80 nucleotides in length. Their secondary structure includes four short double-helical elements and three loops (D, anti-codon, and T loops). Further hydrogen bonds mediate the characteristic L-shaped molecular structure. tRNAs have two regions of fundamental functional importance: the anti-codon, which is responsible for specific mRNA codon recognition, and the 3' end, to which the tRNAs corresponding amino acid is attached (by aminoacyl-tRNA synthetases). tRNAs cope with the degeneracy of the genetic code in two manners: having more than one tRNA (with a specific anti-codon) for a particular amino acid; and 'wobble' base-pairing, i.e. permitting non-standard base-pairing at the 3rd anti-codon position.
Source: Rfam by way of RNAcentral
GAGGGUACAGCUCAGUGGCAGAGUGCCUGCUUAGCACGCACGAGGUCCUGGGUUCAAUCCCCAGUACUUCCA